RNAcentral lists this ribosomal RNA (731 nucleotides) under Halomonas sp. GX18B9. RNAcentral describes it as "bacterial SSU rRNA". It matches the Rfam family "Bacterial small subunit ribosomal RNA", at positions 704 to 1435 of the family's 1533-position model. Lineage: Bacteria; Pseudomonadati; Pseudomonadota; Gammaproteobacteria; Oceanospirillales; Halomonadaceae. The record is from RNAcentral.
GAAUACCAGUGGCGAAGGCGGCCUUCUGGACUGACACUGACGCUGAGGUGCGAAAGCGUGGGUAGCAAACAGGAUUAGAUACCCUGGUAGUCCACGCCGUAAACGAUGUCGACUAGCCGUUGGGCUCCUUGAGAGCUUUGUGGCGCAGUUAACGCGAUAAGUCGACCGCCUGGGGAGUACGGCCGCAAGGUUAAAACUCAAAUGAAUUGACGGGGGCCCGCACAAGCGGUGGAGCAUGUGGUUUAAUUCGAUGCAACGCGAAGAACCUUACCUACCCUUGACAUCGAGAGAACUUUCCAGAGAUGGAUUGGUGCCUUCGGGAACUCUCAGACAGGUGCUGCAUGGCUGUCGUCAGCUCGUGUUGUGAAAUGUUGGGUUAAGUCCCGUAACGAGCGCAACCCUUGUCCCUAUUUGCCAGCGAUUCGGUCGGGAACUCUAGGGAGACUGCCGGUGACAAACCGGAGGAAGGUGGGGACGACGUCAAGUCAUCAUGGCCCUUACGGGUAGGGCUACACACGUGCUACAAUGGCCGGUACAAUGGGUUGCGAAUCCGCGAGGUGGAGCUAAUCCCAUAAAGCCGGUCUCAGUCCGGAUCGGAGUCUGCAACUCGACUCCGUGAAGUCGGAAUCGCUAGUAAUCGUGAAUCAGAAUGUCACGGUGAAUACGUUCCCGGGCCUUGUACACACCGCCCGUCACACCAUGGGAGUGGACUGCACCAGAAGUGGUUAGCC